UGGGCAGUGGCUCAGGGGCAGAGCGCUCGCCUGGCACGCGUGAGGCGCUGGGUUCGAUUCUCAGCACCACAU
This is a non-coding RNA of Ictidomys tridecemlineatus (thirteen-lined ground squirrel), 72 nucleotides long. The record is from Rfam. NCBI's taxonomy places the organism in Eukaryota, Metazoa, Chordata, Mammalia, Rodentia, Sciuridae.